CCGAGUGAGGGCCUCCGGGCCCGACCUCCAACCCUUUGUGAACACACCCGUUGCUUCGGGGGCGACCCUGCCGUUUCGACGGCGAGGCGCCCCCGGAGGGUCUUCCAACACUGCAUCUUUGCGUCGGGAGUUUAAGGGAAAUGAAACA
Molecule: unclassified non-coding RNA, 148 nt
Filed under: soil metagenome
Description: partial internal transcribed spacer 1
Source: RNAcentral